RNAcentral lists this ribosomal RNA (253 nucleotides) under uncultured bacterium. RNAcentral describes it as "partial 16S ribosomal RNA". It matches the Rfam family "Bacterial small subunit ribosomal RNA", at positions 524 to 776 of the family's 1533-position model. The record is from RNAcentral.
UACGUAGGGUGCAAGCGUUAAUCGGAAUUACUGGGCGUAAAGCGUGCGCAGGCGGUUGUGCAAGACAGAUGUGAAAUCCCCGGGCUUAACCUGGGAACUGCAUUUGUGACUGCACAGCUGGAGUGCGGCAGAGGGGGAUGGAAUUCCGCGUGUAGCAGUGAAAUGCGUAGAUAUGCGGAGGAACACCGAUGGCGAAGGCAGCUCGCUGGGACGGUACUGACGCUGAGACGCGAAAGCGUGGGGAGCAAACAGG